Molecule: RNA transcript, 1221 nt
Organism: Oreochromis niloticus (Nile tilapia)
Lineage: Eukaryota; Metazoa; Chordata; Actinopteri; Cichliformes; Cichlidae
Exons: 1
Source: RefSeq, a predicted model, not a curated record
GAGGGUUACGUUAGUUUGUAGCUCUGAGGUCAGACGGAAAUCACCCAGAGUUACUUUCGGUUUGGUCCUUUAUUUGUUGUUGUGGAUUCUGGAUGAGCUCAUUCUCUCAGUGUCAGGUGUGAAGGUCUUAUCGGAGCUGAUGUCCGUGUUUUCGCGGACAUGAGGAGAGUUUCUCUCUCUUUCUGUGUUCGCUCUGUUUUUCCUGCUCUGAUCUGUGAACAUGGAGCGAUCAGCUGCUCUCUGCCUCCUCUCCUUGCUGCUCCUGGCCGUGCCCUGCUGCUCCCAGCCCGGGCUUAUUCAGGCAUACUUUCGGCCUGGAGGCGCUCUGGUUCUGCAGCCUGUGCCGCCGGUCACUGAAAGCAUCACCAGCGUGGUGUGGAAACGCAACAACGACCUGCUGGCCGAGUGGGCGGAGGGAGUGAGUGAGGUGGGAUACUACGGACGGUUCAGAAGCCGGUCAGUGCUCAGCACCGGACCGGACGCCUGCGCGUCAGCGGCGCGUCUGCAGAGGACGCUGGAGUGUUUUCAGUGGAGGUCAACGACGAGCCUGCAGCCGUGGGUGAGGUGCCCCAGCCUGAGGCCUUUGUGACACCUCUGGCCUGCAGUCAGGCCUCCUCUCGGUGCUUACUGCACUGCUAUGGACACACUGCAGACCCCGAGGACAUCACCUACUACUGGAAGAUGGGCGAUGGAGAGUGGGAGGAGUCAGAAAAGAAGAUAGAGAUCCUCAGUGUUAAUGAGCUGCACCAUGUGAGAACUUUCUCCUGCAGGAUGAAGAACCCAGUGAGUGAGAAAGACAGCGAGCCCAUCAAUAAUCCUUUUUACAGACAGAGCAGCCCACCUGACUCUGCAGGAUGGACAGAUGUGGCGGUCACUGUGGGCGGAGCUUUUGCAGCUGCUGCCCUGGUUUCUGUGGCUCUGUUUGUAUUUUGUCAGAGAGAAUUUAUCUGGAAAAGCAUUAAGAAACUCGAAAGGAGGAUUUCUGUCCCACAGGACUCAGUGACGUGUAACUCUGUGUAAAGCUUCAUCAGCCUGGGUUUGAUGUUUGUGCGUUGUUCGCCGUUCAGUGUUCUAGUGAAAAGAAACUGCUGAACUACCAGUAACAGUCCUGUGAAUGCAAAUGAGUUGUUUUCUCCUUAUUUCUUCAUCAUGCCAGGUCUCUCUUGGAAAUAAGAUUUUUAAUCUCAGUGAGAUUUUUACCUGGAUAAAUAAAGGAAUAAU